RNAcentral lists this long non-coding RNA (5983 nucleotides) under Olea europaea subsp. europaea. The record is from RNAcentral. Lineage: Eukaryota; Viridiplantae; Streptophyta; Magnoliopsida; Lamiales; Oleaceae.
GAAAAGGUUUAUUGCCGCAUUAUGUCCAAUCCAACGUAUGAGACACGUCCUAGAAACAUGAGAAUUACAGUCCAAUCAGGAAAGAUAAAGUAGUUUUAAUAUUAAAAAAAAAAAAAAAAGAGGGAGGAAAAGAGAGGGAUGGGGUUCUCUCAGCCCUUCCACAGCAUAAAUUCAGGCACGCUUUCAGCAGUAAUAGAAUCAAGAAUUGCAAAUUUAUGUACAAGUAUACAACCAUCCAACCACAAGUUUACACAACUUAAAUUUACAUCCUCGGACAACCUGAGUCCCGCAUUGCCACACUGACAAAAGGUGCAGAAGUUCCAUCAACGGUAAAGAUCCCAUUUAUCGAUCAAUCUGAGCAAUUCGAACGGCCAUGCGUAUUGGAAUACUCCGCCUAUGAACUGGAUUAUGUUUAAGAUAAUCACUCAAGGUGAAGAUAAGUUUUCUAUCAUGAUUUUUCUCCUUGAAACCAUGAACCACAUGGCAUAAAUUAUGUCAAAGAUCAUGGAGCAACCUUAACCCGAUCUUGAUUUAUUUGCUAAAUAUGACUGCCUUGUUGAGAGGGGAAGAUAACAUUGAAAAUAUUGUUCAAAAAUCCCAGAUCAUAAAUAUUAUUUUUAACAACUUCCAAUUGUUCUAGAUGAGAUCUUUUGAAGAAGGACUUCCAUUUUCUUUCUUGAGGCUUCCUUUCUAGACCUGGUUCAUCUAAACUUGCUUUCAGAGCUUUGGACUUGCCUUUCCCUUGCUAACCUUCCUCUGCCAGCACGAGUGCUCUUGCAACUCAAAAGACUGCAUUUAAAAUAUAGAAUGAACUCAGUCAAAAGACUGUCUGCUCAAGUACUCUUGCAACUUACAUGAGAUUGCUCAAAUGCUAAAAAGUGUGUAUGAUUCUGCACAUAGUAGACAGAUGCAAAUAUGCUAUAUGCAUAAUCAAAUCAAUAACAAUAAAGAGACAGAACCCUACUGGAAAUCUAAUUUUUUUUUCUACUGAUUGUUCUAUAUUGUUUUGCACAGAGACUUCUGAUGCUUCAAGUUCUUCUUUCUACAAUUUUCUUUCUUCCAAUGUUACAUCCCAGCAUCUAGAUAUAAUGAUGACUAGGAAAAGAUCACUGCUUAUUUUCUUGAAACUUCUGGAAAAAUUUGUGCAACUGCAUUGCUAGAACUUCCAUUUUGCAUAGUAAAGCCUCAAUGAACUCAAUACAGUAAACCAUUCGAGUAAAUUACCUCAAAUUUUGCAAUACUUUACCUAAUUUCUAUGUUUCAUUUUCCUGAGUUCAAUUUAAAAGAAACAGCAUUCUACUUCUACAGAAGUUUGAAUAUCAACAUGGGCAGAUUAUCCAAGUUAAAUAUAACUAUAGAAUCUAAAUCUUUGUAAUACAAGGAAUGUCCUUAUGGUUAAUAGUAGGAAUAAGGAUGAAGUGUCCAAAUAAAGCAUCUUUUUUCCCAAAUGGUGAUUCUUUUAGGUAUUUACAAUUGAUUGAGGGUCAUAGAUUAGAUGAUAUAACUCAUAAACCUAGCAUUGGUCAGACAAGGUAGAGAAGGUUACAAAAGUUCGGUGUGAUCAAAAUAUACCUUCCAAGUUAAAAUGAGAUUACAUGGAAUGACCAUUGGGUAAACAAUGUUUUCUAGUAAUGAGCAAUGGAUCGCUAAGGGAAAAAAUGUUCAUAAGAUGAACCUAGUAAAAUAGAAGAUUCAAGAUGGAUUCCAACACAUUAGAACGAAUAAAAUAAUGAAUGGGGAUAUAUACUAAUAUUAUGAAGGUGGAAAAAUUAUCAGCUUAGAUUUUUGGAAACAUAUCUUGUGUAGACCUAAAUAAAUCUUCCAUUCACUCACAAGAGCAAUAUAAUCCAACUAGAAUCGGCUAAAAGAAGAGGUAGACUAAUACCAAAAUGGUGUUAGGUGAUUGCUAUAUAUUUUUAUAUCAUUGAAUUUGCUAGUAUAGGUAGCUUAGAUAGAGUAGAAUGGUGAAAAAGGAUUUAUGUAGACCCCAAGAUUAUUGAGGAUAAAAAUUAUCAGAAUUAUCAUGCUGGUAGUGUUGUAUCCGUCCUAUAAUUUACUAAGCAUUCAUGUAGUUUGAUGGACAAAAGAAAUUCUUCAAGCUAAUAUCAUUUAACUAUGUUAUAUGACAUUCAAUGUUUUCAUUUCAGUUCUAGUUUUCCAUUUUAAUGAAAGAAAGGAAAAUAUGAUAGCCAUUACUUAAUAAAUAAUAGUCAUCGACCUAAAAGGAAGACAUUGAUAAACCAAAUGAAACCAUCCAACACAGGAAAAGUGAAAAAUUAAGGGGCAAAUCAAAGUCAUGUAUGAGGAUGAUACAGAAUCCCUAUUAUCUCGCUUAAUUUUGGUCAAAUAAAGAGAGUACAAUUUUAGAUAUGAAGGUGCCAAUUAAUUGGGCUACAAUGAAGCUUGUAACAUAGCUCGUUUGUCCUAUUACCGAUCAAAUAUUGAACCUUUCUAACUUCUUCGAGUUACCACAUACAUAGCUAGCACCAAAGCAUGUGUUGCCUGUAAUCUAUGCUGCUGCCCGAUAUCCUUGGAAAAAGAGUUUGGAAAAUUGUGUUAUACUUUGAUGCAACCACAAGUUCCCUUUAAUAUUGUUUUCAAAUCUUAACAGUUGUAUACAGUAUGGACCAUGUUCUAACGUCCAACUAUAGGACAAUAACAUCAUAACUUUUUUGUAUCAAAUCUCAAUACAAAGACUCUUAGCAACUGAUACUAUUGCUCUAUGAGCGAUAUUUGAGUUCCAGUACCCAUUGGUUUAUAUACAAGAUUUCUAGUUUUAUUGUUCAUUUUUGCUUCAUUUUCCAUGUUCCUAACCACACAGUGGUGAACUGGACAGGUCAAAUUUCAUUUCAUUUUCAACUAACGUCCUUUAAGUGCAACCCAUGAAUGAUUACCAGUUAAAAUCAAAAUGUCAUCAAACGUUCUAUUUUUUCUUUAGUUUGGUGGAUUUCUAUUGUUAUCAAGUUAUCACUAGUUUUAUCUAAGUUAGCUAUAACAAAAAAGGAAAUUCAUAAUAUACAGUAUCACCAUCAUCUCCCUUUUUGCAGUAUUUAAGUUAUAUUUUCCAAUAACACUUGUGAUAAACUGAUAAUGAUAGAAAUCCACCAAACUAAAGAAAAAUAUACAUGCAAUGGUGCAUUUAUUUUUGAAAUCCUUACUUUUAGGCUGAAUCUAUCAACAUUUUUGGGAAAACAAAUCGUUUGUGUAGAAAGUACCUUACUUUUUGCAUAUGUAGCUCUACGUCACUACAAAUGACAUUUUCAAUUCUAAUAAGUAAACAAAGAACUUUAAAGGAAUUUUCUCGAAGUGAUAAUGAUUCUUAGUAGAAUUGCCAAUUCUGCAAUGUGAAACAGAGUUAAGAAAAUUUUACUUGUGAUAAAUUCAAUGGAAUUUAGUCAUUAAACAUUAAACCUCGGACCGCAAGUUUUACUUUAAUUGGGUUAGCUCAUUUAGUUAACUGAUAUGAAUGUAUAAAAUUUUAAAAUGUCCAGCAUCAUAUGUGUUUAUUGUUGAUGAUACACCACAAAAUCAUUUUAGUUUCUCUACUCAAAUAUAUAGGUUCUUGUUGAACCAAAGGGGCACGGCAAUCAGCAAGAUGUAGUGCAGAUGGUGUGUGUGUAGAAAGAGAGAGAGAGAGAGAGAGAGCGCAUAGUUCUCAUCAUAGAGUGAAGAAUAACACUCAACUGCAAUUAAAGGAAAUCUGAAAGAAAUAUACCUCAUUUGUGGUAGUGUUUGUGAGGCAGAGUUUGACAUGGUAUGCAAAGAAUCCAGCUAACAGUAGAGAAACAAAGGCUAAAAACAUCAUAAUGCGUGUUUGAGUGUUGUACGUGCCCAAUAACCAUUGUCAUAAAACAGAGAACUAUCAAUAGAGUGAUAUAAAGAGUGAGAACAUAACAAAAUUCCCAAAUAUCCAUUGGAACAUAUCCUCCUAAUCUUCAGAAGGAACUAACUAAUCUUAAUUAAGAACAAUUUGCAUAUAGGGAUCAAGUUGUCUUUCUCUAACUGUAGCAGUGGCUAUUUGUCUAUAGUGCUCAGCAUUCAUCCAUAAUGUCAGAGAAAAUUUUUCACCACUGAAUGUCAAUCACUAACUCUCUUUACCCAACUACUUAGCAUAUUGAAUUUUAUCUUAUCGACUUUUCAAUUUGAGAACAGGAGACUUUGGAGCUUACUACACUUUUUAGUCGAGUUAUGUUCGAACAAGUCUGCAACAAUGGAAAAUGGAUCAUAUUAUCAAGAGAUACAAAUCCAUUGUUGGCAUUACAAUUUCUUUCAAUAGAGCCACGUAUAGGGAUGCAAAAUGCACAGAGCCACUUAAUCCCUUGUCUGGGGAUGGCUCAUUGGUGGAUUGUUCAAGUUUAGGAUGAAUUGUUUGUACUCCAUAUUUUUUGCAAGAGGUAAAAAAACAUUCACUUACCUGUACAACAUGUGGAGCCAAAGCCCUUAAAAAAAUUUUAAUGCAAUAAUACUCUGCAACAAAACAAAAAUAGAAAUGUUUGCUCUAACUUCUAAACAAAACUCAAGAACCAACACGAAAAUGUCGGGAUACACGAAUUGAACCCAGUAGAAUGUAGAUUACUUUUAAUUCUUUCAGCCUACCAAGAAGAACCAAUGCAAGGGCUACUAUUCCAUAAAUGCAGAUAAGCAAAUACCUUAAGAAACAUUUGAAGGAGAAUCCAGAUCUGAAAUGAGAAGUCUUGUAAUCACAAAACAUCAAACUUGCAAUUCCCUACAUUUUCAUCUUUAGAGAUUUGCUUUUGAAAAAAUAGCUAUGCAUGUGGAAGAAGCGUUGAUAAUUAUCACUGUGACCUCAAAUCUAAGUUGACAAUUUACACAACACAAUUAUGUGGCACACUGAUGAAAACAUCACAUACCUUCAUUUAUUGACAGAAAAAUGUUCAUAAACAUAGAUAAAGAAAAUUCCAAAAGAUUAGCAAGAUCUAAAACUAUACUUUCCUGGUUCUAGCAGAUACCAGGUUUAUCACUCACCAAAGAAUAAAAGCCAUAAAGUAUCUGGUGUUUCUCUCCCUAAUGCAAUUGUUCUGCAAUGGAGAUACAAAAGAAAAUUCUUAAGACAAUUGACAUUCUCUGUUAACACAUAGCCCAAGGCUCUGAUGCUCAAACUCUUCGAAAUAGUUGGAGUAUCCAUGUUAGACACGACAGAACAUGGGCAUGGGUAUGGGUAUGAAAUGUGUCGGAUCCUCCAAAUUUCAACCGGACACUUCGUUGUUUUUGCUUCUCCUUCUUUCUUCUUUCUUUUUUUCCUCUUUUCUUUUACUUUUCCUUUUCUUCUUUUCCGUUUUCGCUAUCUAUAAACCUAGUGUCGCCACUAAGAGGGUGGAAAAGUACGGCGGCUCAAAAUUUUCCCUUUUUUUCUUCUUUCUUUCUUUCUAUUUUCUUCUUUUUUUCUUCUUUCUUUCUAUAACGAUGGUUUAAUGUUUCGUUUGUAUAAAAUAAAAAUGGGUUCCAUAUAAUACUACUUAGUGCUCUACUAGAUCCAAAUUGCAAUCAAAUCCCUCAUUUUCUAUUUUAUGUAACAUUUAGUAAUUCCCAUGAUUGAAAUCUAAACUCCAAAAUUCUAUUUUAUUCGUUUUAACCCUUUAUUUAAUACCCAUUUCCUUCUUUGUUAAUAAUUUAUUUUGGUUUAUUCAAAAUAACGUUUUGGAUUAAUAAAAAAAUUGAAGUUUGAAAGAAGUAUCCACAUACCCGUGUCCGAAAUUUAGACUUUCUUUAGCGAUGUUCUCGUAUACUAUAUUUUAGAAAAUAAAAGAUCCGACACUUAAAUAUGUACUCGUACCCAAUUCCCAUACCCUAGUCCAAACAUCAUAGGCCCAAGGCAUCCGAACUUUCAUCAAGGAGGCUAAGUAAAAAGUUUAUUACACAAACCAUCCAUCCACAAUGAUAGUUAAACCGAGCAACAUAGCGAUAAGAUAUGAUGCAGUGCUUUGACCUAGCAGGCCUGAAUGAGGGAAGGAGGAAAUUAUAU